Molecule: ribosomal RNA, 187 nt
Filed under: uncultured bacterium
Lineage: Bacteria
Description: partial 16S ribosomal RNA
Rfam family: Bacterial small subunit ribosomal RNA
Source: RNAcentral
ACUCCUACGGGAGGCAGCAGUGGGGAAUCUUCCGCAAUGGGCGAAAGCCUGACGGAGCAACGCCGCGUGAGUGAUGAAGUUCUUCGGAACGUAAAACUCUGUUGUUCACGACGAACGGGGGGACCAGGAAAUGGGUUCCCAGUGACGGUAGUGAACGAGGAAGCCACGGCUAACUCCGUGCCAGCAG